GAACGCUGGCGGCGUGCUUCCCCCCUGCCCGUCGCCCGAGCCCGCGCUGUCGCCCUCCAGGGUUCUGCUCGUGGCAGCCGGGUGAGUAAUACAUGGGAAUCUACCUUGCAGUGCGAAAUAACAGUUGGAAGCAAUUGCUAAUGUCGCAUAUAGCCGAGAGGUGAAAGGUUUACUGCUGCAAGAUGGGCCCAUGCAGGAUUAGCUAGUUGGUGAGGUAAUGGCUCACCAAGGCAACGAGCGGGAGGGGGGCGGAGAGGAUGAUCAGCCACACGGGAACGGAGACACGGGC
Molecule: ribosomal RNA, 289 nt
Filed under: uncultured Rickettsiales bacterium
Lineage: Bacteria; Pseudomonadati; Pseudomonadota; Alphaproteobacteria; Rickettsiales
Description: partial 16S ribosomal RNA
Rfam family: Bacterial small subunit ribosomal RNA
Source: RNAcentral